Molecule: long non-coding RNA, 1653 nt
Filed under: Pomacea canaliculata
Lineage: Eukaryota; Metazoa; Mollusca; Gastropoda; Architaenioglossa; Ampullariidae
Description: uncharacterized LOC112574338, transcript variant X2
Source: RNAcentral
AAAAGCUAAACACAUACAACUCACACUUUAUUAUUGGUUUUGAUUUUUUAAAAAAAAUACCACGAAAAUGUCUGCUAAUCUAUUCAGCAACACUAGAAGAUCCAUAGUUUCUACGCAUGAGCGAUGAGCAUACUUCGCUUCUACGUGGAAUCUCUCUCAACGUCGAGUCUUGUGGGUGUGACUUGUCAGGUAUUGCCUGUGCAUUCGCGUUCACGCCUCAAUCGCUUUCACACAACGGGUACGCUUAGAGGCAUGAAAAUCACGGUUAUGUAUCAUGUUAAAGAGAUUAUCAUAUCCCAUUCGCCUGUCAAAUUAUACCAAACAUUCAACAGAAGCCCAGAUGAAAUUUCCAGACUCUUCAGCAAAAUGAUAGACUAUUUGUACAAUACACACAAGCAUCAUCUUCGUCAGCUGAACCACUGGUGGCUACAGCAGGCAGGUAACCUGCCGUUCCCAAGCCCAGAUGAAGGAGGAGGGUUGCAAACCUACCAUGUAAAACAACCAUGCUACAGAAACCGCGAAUGCCACACAAGCACGAGAGUCUGACGGGAAGAUCCCUCUUCAGAAAGGCCUGUGACGUGUGUUGGCUAAAGCCCUCGGGAGGUCAGCUCACUGACCCAUCUUCUCAUGGUCAAGGCAAAAAUCCAGGAUAGGGACCUGGAACAUCAGAACCCUAUACAAGAGGGUUGCAGCCCUAUGCGCCACUGGGAGGGAAUAGGAAGAAGAAGAAUACUCAGGUGGAUAAAAGCAACAAUGAUAUUUUACUGGGAGCAUACUGUCCUCUUUCUGGCUUCACAAUGUGCUGUCACACUACCUUUGUUAUUUUUUAUGUUUAUGUAUUGUUUGACGUGCAAGAUUAGUCUUCUCUUACCUUCAAUUUCAUUGCUGGAUGAAGAAGGUCCAGCAACAGCUUCGUUUUCUUUUCUUUUUUGUGACUGUAUUUCUGCAGCACAUUGCCUCUGCUCCUCUUCAUCUUUUUUGCUGAGUUUUUACCCCCCCUCUUCGUCUUCUAUACUUUCUUUAAUUCCUAUAAUUUCUAACAGCAGAUGAUCCUUUUUUAAGUUCCUCUUCAUCUUUACCUGAUCUAAAAUUGAAAGAAAUGCAUUAAUGUAGAUUUGACUUUUUUUUUUUCUCCCUCUCUCACAGACAUACUUUUGGGACCAGUCCCGAGUACUUGUGGUUUUAUGCUUUCAUUAUUUCUAAAAUGUUCACAUACUGGUUUAGAAUAAUUGUUCCAGUAUAUUUUGUUCAUUCAUGACUUACUUUGCUUCCCUUAUAUUAUGGGUGCAUUUAAAUAGUGAAGAAUUGAAAUUUGUUAGUACUAGCGAUGAAUUAAAAGUAGUAAACAUUGUAAUUACUCAACACAGAUGAGUUGAAAUUAUGACUGACAAGUAGUAAGUUGAAAUGCAGUACCUGAAACUGAGUUAGUAUUAUAUGGAUUUAGGAGCUAUUUUAGCAGCAUAAGCCAAAUGUCUUUUUUUACAUUCCAACACUUUCCUUUGGUGUAUAUAAUAAGGUUGUACACAAACUUAUUAAGUUUUAGAUUUCUCGUGGUAUGCAUCUUUCCAUUGACAGGACCAAUAGUUAUGAAUUGACUUUUUUUUAAAAAUCACUUUAACACCAUGAAAUAAAAAUGUUUUUGUGGACUCCAAA